Arabis alpina (gray rockcress) is the source of this 107-nucleotide non-coding RNA. NCBI's taxonomy places the organism in Eukaryota, Viridiplantae, Streptophyta, Magnoliopsida, Brassicales, Brassicaceae. The record is from Rfam.
AUCCCAUGGUGAGGAAAAGCUCUUGUAUAACAUUUCAUAUGCUCCCACGCGUCAUACAUACUAUCUUCUUCGCCUUGUUCAAAUCUAGCUAUAUCGUUCCUUAUCUU